RNAcentral lists this ribosomal RNA (440 nucleotides) under uncultured bacterium. RNAcentral's name for it is "bacterial SSU rRNA". It matches the Rfam family "Bacterial small subunit ribosomal RNA", at positions 338 to 777 of the family's 1533-position model. The record is from RNAcentral.
CCUACGGGUGGCUGCAGUCGAGAAUCUUCGGCAAUGGGCGCAAGCCUGACCGAGCGACGCCGCGUGCGGGAUGAAGGCCCUCGGGUUGUAAACCGCUGUCGUAGGGGAGGAAGGCUCCGUGAAGAACGGGGUUUGACCUAUCCUAGGAGGAAGGACGGGCUAAGUUCGUGCCAGCAGCCGCGGUAAUACGAACCGUCCGAACGUUACUCGGAAUCACUGGGCUUAAAGGGUGCGUAGGCCGCGCGGAGGGUGGGAUGUGAAAUCCCCCGGCUCAACCGGGGAAUAGCGUCCCAAACCGCCGUGCUUGAGGGAGACAGAGGUGAGCGGAACUGAUGGUGGAGCGGUGAAAUGCGUUGAUAUCAUCAGGAACACCAGUGGCGAAAGCGGCUCACUGGGUCUUUCCUAACGCUGAGGCACGAAAGCUAGGGGAGCGAACGGGA